This 298-nucleotide unclassified non-coding RNA is filed under the name Hevea brasiliensis (rubber tree). Lineage: Eukaryota; Viridiplantae; Streptophyta; Magnoliopsida; Malpighiales; Euphorbiaceae. The record is from RNAcentral.
GAAAAAUAAAAAUAAUAAUAAAAGCAACAUCAUUUCAUGACCUUCAAAAGAUAAAAUAACAAUCUGCCUCCAUUCGCGAAGUCAACUUAUUACUGAGUUUACUAGGAUUUAGCAGCCCAAAUCAACCUUUGUGGAUUCUACCAAUUCUUUUUUCAUCUCCUUAAAUGAGUACUUUAUCAUGGAGACUAAAAUUAUCAAUUUAUCAUACACAAUAUUGGCAUCUAGGUGCAGAAUUUUAUUUACUUUUUAAAGUAUUAGAAGAUAUAUUUAAAAAAUUCAAAAUUAAUGAACUUAUCAA